CUGUCCUGAUUCAAAGCAGCUUAUAAACUUUGCAGUAAAACAGAACUUUUAUAGGACCAUCCUUCAAAUAAACAGAGUAAAUUUUUUUUUCAGUUAAAGAAAAUUGUGUGACUUUUACAUCAGGAAGCAAAAUGCAUAUAAAGAAGUUCCCUAAUUCAGUAUGUCAAAUUCACUAUUCUUCUGUGACAAUGGCCUGACAGAUAAUGGUCUGCCUGUCAGUCACAGUGAUAGCUGAAUAUUAUUGCCAUCUUACAACUUUGCAUUCCCAUAGGCACUGUACAACAAAGAGCAGAAAGACAAUCUGGAAUAUAUGCUCUUCAGGUCUGUCCAUAAAAUAAAAAGAAGAAAGAGACAAGCAGAAAGCUUAAGACUGAAAGUCAAAAGAGAAGUUACAGACACAGCAAAACAACAACAUAAAAGAUAAGUGAACAGAGACCUCCCAUAGCAUGCUUUUAUUUCCUGCUGGGGUAUAAACAAAGCUCAUCCACAAUGGAAAGAGGAAAAUGUGUGCUUUAGCCAAAGAUGCCAUGGGAAAGAUCAUUCCUACUGGGUAGCCGUUCUGAAAGAUGCUAGAAUACACUGCGUACUUUCAGAAAAAGAAAAAAAGGAAGAACGAAACGGACUGUGGUGGGCGGUUAACAGAAAACUCGUUAUAUAAACGGAAUCUGAAUUUGGUCUCAAGCUGACACUUCGAGAAGAGGAUUUACCAGCGCCAGACUGCUGGAUUUCGUUCAGGAGUGCUUAUUUGGGGGAAAGCAUUCCUUCCCUAAUCACACCUGUCUCAGGGAACCGUGGUUGGCAGGACCUCAGGAGAUCAUCCAGUCCAACCCCCUGCCCAGGCAGGACCACCCUGAGCCAGCUGCCCAAAACCAAGGCCGGGUGAGUUUUGGGUAUCUCCAAGGAUGCAGAAUUCAUGACCUCCCUGAGCAAACUGCUCGGGUGUUUGACCACUCUGACCAUGAAAAUGUGUUUCCUUAUGUUCACGUGGAUUUUCUUGUCCUUCAGUUUGUGCCCAUGGACUCAUCCUUUCCCAGGGAACCACUGAGUUUCCUCUCAUCUUCUUUAUCCCCUUCCAUCAGGUAUUUAUGGAUUAAGGAUCCUUCCAACCCUUCUCUUCUACAGGCUGAACAGUCCCAGCUUUCUAAGCCUCUGCUCAUAGUAGCCUGCUGUCUGAGGCACCCAUGUCUUACACUGCUUUUCUCUCUCAAAGUCUACCAAACAAUAAGAGUAAAUGCCAAUAAAUCUGUGACUAUUAAACAGAGUUAAACUUGACAAUUAGAAAUGUUUUCAUUGUGUAUCUGUUCUGUAAAUCACAAUAUGAAGAUCUUACAAAGCUGUGGAGUUGCUGUGUCUGAAGCAGCUGUUGGUAGCUGACAGUCCAGUUCACCUCAAGGUUGUUCAUUCAACACACUGUCAUGUCUGUAGUCAGAGAACCAUUACUGUUGAAUAGAUUUGGUCUGGUUCCACUACAAAGGAUGACUUUAUGGGAUAUGUGCUUUGUAAAAGCUUAAGGUAAAAGAACACUGGAGCUAAUUUGUACCACUGAGGAAAUACAGAAUAUUGAUACAAAAUCUAUAUUUUGAAAGGAUGAAACCUAUUCAGUUAAACACAUUGUUCUUCAAGUGUAGCACCAGGUCUCAUAUGUCUUUAACCAGAAUUAACAACGUGAAGCUGCAUUUAGCUUGUUCUGUCCUCAAAAAUACUGCCUUUAGUCCAGGAAACUAUGUGAAUUAUUUUUUUGUUGACCAGAUAACUCAUACAAUUUGAACAAUUUCUACUGUUUUAUUAAAGCUGUGUUCUGCUUUUCAAUGAGUUGCGGAAAACUCAACAGAAAUUGAAAAAAAAAUCAAUAUUUUUCAUGUAAUAGUUUGCUCAUAGUCAGGAUAACCUCCUCCCAGAUACAAAACUCCAUGUCUUCAGGACCUCACAUUUCAAAAAAACUAACUAUAACCAAGCAAAACUUUUUGGGGUUUCACCAGUUACUUGUGACUUCAACGUAUUAAGGAUGUAUUUGGCUUUAAGUAUUGCCCUUAUUUCCUCCCAUAAACAAAUCUGGCUAUCUAGACUGUAACACAGAGCCUCAGCUAUACUGGUACUAUUAUAGUUUGUGUUCUUAUCUUAUGUAUAUACACUUGAGAAGGAAAGCAAACACACCUGUGUCCCUGUCUAAGAUCGGGACAUGUUUUUCCCCAGCAUGCUUGCACAUUUAAAAUUAAAAUAUUUUAUUGGACCUUUUGUUUGUGAUAUAAAGAGGUGGUUUGGAAAAAGUGGGGCUUCCCUGGAAAUUAUGUUCUGCAUAGAUGUCCUGAUUUUCAAUGUGUUUCAGUAUGUUUCUCCCAGAAGUAAAAUCUUCUGUUCCCUUUAUAUUCUACAU
Molecule: long non-coding RNA, 2374 nt
Organism: Catharus ustulatus (Swainson's thrush)
Lineage: Eukaryota; Metazoa; Chordata; Aves; Passeriformes; Turdidae
Exons: 4
Source: RefSeq, a predicted model, not a curated record